This 91-nucleotide non-coding RNA is filed under the name Chromera velia. Lineage: Eukaryota; Chromeraceae. The record is from RNAcentral.
AGAACGAAGUCAAACGUCCAUCCAUUCUUCUUUCUCUCCAAUGCUUUCUUCCUUUCAUCAUUCGCACCACCAUUCCGUCCCUUCAUCCACG